RNAcentral lists this transfer RNA (78 nucleotides) under bacterium. RNAcentral describes it as "tRNA-Leu". It matches the Rfam family "tRNA". From Rfam's summary of the family: Transfer RNA (tRNA) molecules are approximately 80 nucleotides in length. The record is from RNAcentral.
GUCCGAGUAGCCCAAUUCGGCAGAGGCAACGGCCUUAAAACCCGUUACGUGAGAGUUCGAAUCUCUCCUCGGAUACCA